RNAcentral lists this long non-coding RNA (660 nucleotides) under Monodelphis domestica (gray short-tailed opossum). RNAcentral describes it as "lncRNA (ENSMODG00000035821.2)". The record is from RNAcentral. Lineage: Eukaryota; Metazoa; Chordata; Mammalia; Didelphimorphia; Didelphidae.
GUCCAAAACAGGUGUUCUGACUGGAGGACAAGCUACCAAUUAACUAGGAACAAUUUAGUGCAAAGAGAUGGAAAACAAAUAGAAUGCAGAUAAAAAAGGUCACACAGAAGCUAAAUUAUCUGUUGGUUCAUUCUUAUCCCAGGCCAAUUAUUCCAAUUGUGUUGAGAGCCAUAUAAAUCAAGUCUAACUAUCCCAAGUCUUCUAAGAAGCUAUCCUUUAGUUGGAGUCCAACUGAGUAGGACUAGAAAAAUAUCGAGGAGUCCAGUAUUGUAUUCUGGGAAGAAUUAUCAUGACUUACAUUUCCAAAAAAUUUUAUGGCUUGCAUAUUUAAGUCCUGUAAGAUUUAUUAUGCUCAUUCUGAAGAUGAAAAAGCUGAGACUCAGAGGGGAUGAAGUGAUUGUCUGUCAGCUCAGUGUUUAAUCAAGCCAUCUAAAGCAUGAACCAGAAGAUAUGGGAACAACCCCAAGAUAUUUCCAUCAAAUCAAUCAUUUAAAGGAGACUUGGAAGAGGAAGACAUGGGAAAAUAGAAAGGGGCAGACGAGGAGGCAAAGAAAGUGUAAGAGGAAAACAUCACAAGAGGAGUUGUUCCAGCCUAUGAUUAAACCUUUCAUCUCCCUUCACCCUAAAGAGAAGGCCCUGAGCUCCUUUCGUCCAGCUGCC